CUCCAUCUUGUGCUGAAAACAAAAACUGUCCCAGGAUGGGUACCAGUGUACCACCACUCUGGUUGUAUAACCUGCAUACCCCUUGGCUAUCUGCUUUUGUCUUUCUCCUCUAUAAUCCUAAACUGUUGCCCAUAGGGGGAGACAGAUUUCUAGACCGGCUAUCUUCCCAGUUUGGGCCAAAUUACAAAUAAAUUCAUUUCAUGCUUCACCAUUAUUUUUCUGUUUGUUAAUUAGACACUGUGCUAUGGGCAACUUAAUCUAGUCUGUUGGGAUCCCCCAAAUUAACUCUCUGGCUCGAGUGGUCCUGACCCCACCAUAACAAAAGGACAGACUCUUUAUCACCUGGUGAUAGAUAAUUAUAAGCCAAUUACUUGAUUUCCUCCUGUUCUUUUCAAAUUCAAAAAUUCUUCAAAAUGCUUUUCUUUAUUGUUCUCCACCUAUAAGUAAACCUUACUUAUAGGUAAGUAAUGAUAGAAUGACAAAAUGGAUAGAUAUCUCAGUGAUUUAGUUGGAGGGAGUAGAACCAUUUCCAAGUCUUACGUAAUCAGUAUGUUUGUUCUCUAUGUACUACAGAAGAGAUAUUGCGCCAAGUGCAAUCUGCUAACCCCAAAGUAAUCAUAGCUAGCCUAACAAUCAUAGGGCAUUAGUUUAUCAUUUUCUUCUCCUUUCCUUACAUUUUCUGGUUCUAGGGCUUCUCAGAAUAUUUUUAUAUUUAUAUUUUAGUUUCUUCAUGAAUAAACCAUUUUUCAUAAUCUCUAAGAUAGGCUAAUGUGAUAUUGUUUUUUUGUGUUUGAUCCUCCCUGUUACUUUAUCUCAAUUUAUUCAAGGCCAUAUUUAACUUUUCUAUUAGGGAGAACUUUUGCCUUCCUCUUCAGUAGGUUCCAUUAGUAGAGUUUCAAAGCUUUGGGGCUGCUUCCAGUGUAAGCAAAUCUGAUUCAUACUUUGAAAAAGAGGGAAAUUGGCUUUUUCUCUGUCUAAAAAGGAAAUCUUUAAAAAAGUUAUGUUUUAGCACAUUACAGUCUUAUAUGUUUACAUUAUGUUUUACCAGAAGAAUUGCCUCUGAUGAAUUAUGAGUGGAAAGAACUUUCCUUUUCAUUAAAAAACUUGAAAAAAAUAAAACAUAAUCAGAAUUUUGAAAGGUAUCUUUCAAACAUACAACUUGUUAGCUCUGUAAUUUUGGAAAAGGUAAAGCCAAGUUGUUUUUGACCAAGAUUGUCUUAUUGCGCUAUUGUCUUGGGCAGAUAUUACAAGUGCAGUUUGGUAGCCUUUGCAUACUGAGGGGGAGGACCUUGCUGAUUUCUCCUUUCUUUUUUGUUGGUUCAGUUUUAGUGCUGGGGAUUGAACCUAGGGCCUGGUGCAUGCCAUGCGCACACAUGCUCUACAAUUGAACUAUACCCCCAACCUGUCCCUUUUGAAAUUUCCCCUGUUACCUCUUGGUCAUUUACAUUUUUAACUCCAAAAAAUAGUUUUAUUGCAUGUAUUCUUUCUCAUUUUGCUCAUAGGUAAGCCUAACCUUCAGAAUGUAGGCUAAG
Molecule: long non-coding RNA, 1532 nt
Filed under: Marmota monax (woodchuck)
Lineage: Eukaryota; Metazoa; Chordata; Mammalia; Rodentia; Sciuridae
Source: RNAcentral